Molecule: long non-coding RNA, 847 nt
Filed under: Salmo salar (Atlantic salmon)
Lineage: Eukaryota; Metazoa; Chordata; Actinopteri; Salmoniformes; Salmonidae
Description: lncRNA (ENSSSAG00000083701.1)
Source: RNAcentral
UAUCUAAAUACAAAUUCUAAAAUAUUGAAUUCAAAUACAGUUUCUGUUGGCACUGAAAUCGCUCCAUAACCAGGGCUGUUCUUCUGAUACCUCACUGCUACAUUUUCCCCCUUCACUACCACAACGGGAAGGCUAAUUCACUACCACAACUGGAAGGCUAAUUCACUACCACAACAGGAAGGCUAAUUCACUAUCACAACUGGAAGGCUAAUUCACUAACACAACGGGAAGGCUAAUUCACUAACACAACUGGAAGGCUAAUUCACUACCACAACGGGAAGGCUAAUUCACUAUCACAACAGAAAGGCUAAUUCACUAUCACAACAGGAAGGCUAAUUCACUAACACAACGGAAAGGCUAAUUCACUACCACAAUGGGAAGGCUAAUUCACUAACACAACGGAAAGGCUAAUUCACUACCACAACGGGAAGGCUAAUUCACUACCACAACAGGAAGGCUAAUUCACUAACACAACAGGAAGGCUAAUUCACUAUCACAACAGGAAGGCUAAUUCACUACCACAACAGGAAGGCUAAUUCACUAUCACAACAGGAAGGCUAAUUCACUAUCACAACAGGAAGGCUAAUUCACUACCACAACGGGAAGGCUAAUUCACUACCACAACGGGAAGGCUAAUUCACUAACACAACGGGAAGGCUAAUUCACUACCACAACUGGAAGGCUAAUUCACUAACACAACGGGAAGGCUAAUUCACUAUCACAACGGGAAGGCUAAUUCACUACCACAACGGGAAGGCUAAUUCACUACCACAACAGGAAGGCUAAUUCACUAACACAACAGGAAGGCUAAUUCACUAUCACAACAGGAAGGCUAAUUCACUACCAC